GUGCUUGCUUCUGCAGUGCAUAUCCUAAAAUUGGAAUGACACAGAGAAGACUAGCAUGGCCCCUGCACAAGGAUGACAUGCAAAUUCACGAAGCAUUCCAUAUUUUU
This is a small nuclear RNA of Choloepus hoffmanni (Hoffmann's two-fingered sloth), 107 nucleotides long. The record is from Ensembl. Lineage: Eukaryota; Metazoa; Chordata; Mammalia; Pilosa; Megalonychidae.